GACGAACCGUCCAAACGCUAUUCGGCAUCACAGGGCUUAAAGGGUGCGUAGGCGGCGCGGAAAGUUGGGUGUGAAAUCCCUCGGCUCAACCGAGGAACUGCGCCCAAUACUACCGUGCUCGAGGGAGAUAGAGGUGAGCGGAACUUAGGGUGGAGCGGUGAAAUGCGUUGAUAUCCUAAGGAACACCGGUGGCGAAAGCGGCUCACUGGAUCUCUUCUGACGCUGAGGCACGAAAGCUAGGGUAGCGAAUGGG
Molecule: ribosomal RNA, 253 nt
Filed under: uncultured bacterium
Lineage: Bacteria
Description: partial 16S ribosomal RNA
Rfam family: Bacterial small subunit ribosomal RNA
Source: RNAcentral